CAACUAGCAACAGCAGCAGAUCCUAGUGGAGAGAUGCCAUGCCACGCCCAGUCAUGAGGAGGUGCUGGUGGUGAGCCAACCCUUGCACAGAUCUUUUGAAUGGAAUAUGAACACCCUACAUUAUUAGGAGUUGAAGGACAUGUCUGUCAUUCAAAAAGGUUGGUUACUCUUCCAGUACAUUGAAUGAAAUUUAAUUGGUCUACAGUCCUCUGUUGUUACUGCACCAAAUGGAGGGAUUCUUUUAAGUAGGGCUGAAAUGCUACAUUAUUUUUAAUACCUGAAAGUCCAGAUUUUCUGCCCUGCAGGCAUUUUAAUAAUUGAAAAGAACAUUAUUUUAAAAACUUAAAAUUCCCUUAUUUACAUGUAUCCUUGCUUUGCACUUCACAGGUUUUUCUGUGUUUAGGUGACACUCUUGGUUGUGAUAUUGAAUAUAUUAGAUUUUAAGGCCAGAAGGGACAGGAUGAUGAUCUGUUCUGACCUCAAACAGCAUUGCCACCUUUUCAGGUUUUCCCAGAAUCACCCUUUUUGUGGUAGUUGUUCUGUAAGGGUGCUCAGUACAUGCUAACAGCUGUCUAGUUUUAUGGGCUCUAGAUCAUCCCAAAUAUCCUGUGUUUUUGUACAUCAGAAGUGGCAACCCUACUCCUACAUAUCACAGGGCAAAGAACCUCAUGGAGUUAUUUCUGCAUCAAGCCCAUAACUUCUGAUUGAGCCACACUAUAAGUUAUGGGAGGAGAUGUACCAGUUCCAGAAACCCACCUUUCAUGCUGAUUGGUUCUUGCUGACUUUCUUCAGCAGAGGCCUGCUCUCUCGCAGGAACUUUCUCUGGGCCUGCCGUUUGAAUGUGGCAGAGGUGUCUCAUUUGUUAAAGCAGCCAUUUUGUAACUGGGUGCAGCAGCACCCUCUCUUCCAUGUGGUAAGUUCUUAACUCCCAUUCUGAUUCCCUUUUCCUACUCUUGAGGAGAUGGUACCUUCUUCUCACUCCCACACUACAGCCAGAAAAGUCCCUUAUCUCGUCAUCAGUGUGGUCCUUUCAGGUUACCCUGCAAAAUCACCCUUCCCCAGCCCUGAUGAGCACUGUCUGUAUUCUGAGUGGAUCCAACUUUAGUUAGCAGAUGGUUAGCUGCUUUUCCUCACUCCCACACCUUCUGUCCAUGCCAGUCAUCAGUGGCUUUCACAUACUAGCUCCAUGUUGUAUGAGGGCAAUCCUCCGGUCAAGGUUCCUUCCCCACUUUGAACUCUAGGGUACAGAUGUGGGGACCUGAAUGAAAACCUCCCUAAGCUUAUUUUUACCAGCUUAGGUUAAAGCUUCCCCAAGGCACAAACUAUUUUACCUUUUGUCCCUGGACCUUAUUGCUGCCACCACCAAGCGUCUAACAAAAAUAACAGGGAAAGAGCCCACUUGGAAACAUCUUUCCUCCCCCAAAUCCCCCCAAGCCUUACACCCCCUUUCCUGGGGAAGGCUUGAUAAAAAUCCUCACCAAUUUGCAUAGGUGAACACAGACCCAAACUCUGUGUUAGAAUAUCUGUGUUGGGGAGGAGAGGUUAGCCACCACAGAGGAACUGAAAUCUAAGAAGGAAACUUUAUAAUGGGCUCUGAGGUUGAGACAUUAGAUAAUAAUUUGUUUUCAGUGUUAAGCUACUUAACCAUUCAAAUUAUAUUUAUAUUUAAAUAUAAUAUAUAUUUUUACUGACUGUGGUGAAAUCUUUUUAGGGACUUGUAACCAUUUGACAGCUACCUUCUUAGACUCCUUGGAAUGUAUAAGGAUUGAUCAUUUUCAGCACUAAUUUGAUGACUUAACUCUAUUCCAAUACUGAGACUGAUCUGAUGUUGAUUUGAUGUACUUUAUUCUUACUGUAGUUAGUUAAUACAAUGAAUAGUAGUUUAGCUUUGGUGAUAUGUGUUCUUGCUUUGGUUUUAGUGUAAACGUUUUAUACAUUUUAUAAAACUGAUACUGAGUCACAUUUUCUUUCAAAAAGCAAGAGGGGUCCAGUACCUUUGAGGGCCGGGCAGAGAUAUCGGCUGAUCAACCUAGAAGCCUGACCAGCUCUAUUAGGAAGCUGGCUCAGUCUUUGGUUCUCACAAUGGCCACUUUACCCCAUCGUUAGGCAGGCCCAGGUACUUCCAUAUGGUACAGCAUGUUGAAGUCAUUGCUCUCUUGGUGUUACUCAUGCCACUUUCUGGAGAGAAUUUUGGAAGGAUACUUAUCAGAAAAGAGCCACCCCUAAUCUUUAAACUAAGUGCCAAUAGACAGAAAGAUAUAAACUAAGCCAUAGCUGAAACCAUACAGAACACACUAUGGAGAAUGUUGUGGUGGCACAAUGACAGAGCUUGUGUAUGAUCCCUAUCUUUUCUU
Non-coding RNA from Caretta caretta (loggerhead turtle), 2354 nucleotides. The record is from RefSeq and is a predicted model, not a curated record. NCBI's taxonomy places the organism in Eukaryota, Metazoa, Chordata, Testudines, Cheloniidae.